This 610-nucleotide long non-coding RNA is filed under the name Mytilus galloprovincialis (Mediterranean mussel). Lineage: Eukaryota; Metazoa; Mollusca; Bivalvia; Mytilida; Mytilidae. The record is from RNAcentral.
GUGUUUUAAAAAAAUCACUUUCAACCGGGUGGUUUUUUAAAUGUCCACCCGUUUUUUUUUUUAAUUUACUGUGGGUGCACGUGGGGGUCACAAAAAUAAGAAGAUAUAUAAUUCACAUUUAAUGGAGUUGAACAAACAUAAAUAGACGUAGUCAUAUUAAUUGUCAAAAUAUUCUUUGAUUUGAUUUUUUUCAACAAUUUAUCUCUUUUCUCUCAUCUUUCAUUUACAAUUUUAUGUCCUGUUUCUUGCUUUUGUGUCGUAUUUUUGGCCAAUAGAACAGUAGUAUCCUUCCUCUGUGACUAUAAGUCUUUUGAAGUCUUGCUCAUAUUUGUCUUCACUUGCGUGUCUUUUCCGUUGUUUGGUUGAAUUUUGUUCAAUUUCCACAACUUCAACAUUACUAUCAAUUUUAUUUAACUUAUUUGGUCUAGUAUUUUCUUUAUCAUCAUCGUCAUCUGCCUUUCUUGUACCCCGAUUGAUAAAUGAAAACAUUGAAAUUUGACGAGUGGACGCCAUCUUUGUCACUGAAAACAAAUCAGCGAGGCGCGAUUAGUAUUCAAAUUUUAACGGUACGGAACCGAAAAAAAUCCGAAAUUUGAAAAAAAAGCCGACC